UCGCAUCCUGGGGCUGGAGAAGGUCCCAAGGGUCCGGCUGUUCGCCGGUUAAAGCGGUACGCGAGCUGGGUUCAGAACGUCGUGAGACAGUUCGGUCCUUAUCCACUGUGGGCGUAGGAGACUUAAGGGGUUCAAACCCUAGUACGAGAGGACCGGGUUUGACGCACUUCUGGUAUGGCAGUUGUCUCUUCAGGGGCAUCGCUGCGUAGCCAUGUGCGGAAGGGAUAAGCACUGAAAGCAUCUAAGUGCCAAGCCCAUCCCAAGAUUAUGUCUCCCGGCCGUAAGGCCCUUAAGACCACGGGCAGACCACCCGUUUAAUAGGUCAGAUAUGUAAAUGCCGUGAGGCAUGCAGUAGACUGAUACUAAUCGGUCGUGAGGCUUGAUU
RNAcentral lists this ribosomal RNA (385 nucleotides) under Verrucomicrobiota bacterium. Its description in RNAcentral is "Verrucomicrobia bacterium (groundwater metagenome) partial 23S ribosomal RNA". It matches the Rfam family "Bacterial large subunit ribosomal RNA", at positions 2540 to 2925 of the family's 2925-position model. Lineage: Bacteria; Pseudomonadati; Verrucomicrobiota. The record is from RNAcentral.